UCUAAAAGCCCCAGAAACUCAGCACUCAGGCACUCAGAGAAAGGCUGGUCUCUGGGCUUGAGUGAGAACAACAGAAAUUUCAACCAGGAGAAGAAUUUCUAUCAUGCUCUGCCCUGGUCUGCUGUGGGCAUUCUUGGCCUCCUUUGGCUUCAGAUCCAGCAUGGCUCAGAAAGUAACCCCAGCUCAGACUAUAAUAACAAGGAAUGAAGGAGAAGCUGUGACCAUGGGGUGGAAGUAUGAAACCAGUUGGAGCAAUUAUUAUACUUUGUUCUGGUACAAACAGCCUCCCAGUGGAGAGAUGGCUUAUCUUAUUCAUCAGGAUCAUUCGAAGCCAGAUGUAAAGCAGGAUCGCUUCUCUGUGAACUUUCAAAGAGCAGAAAAAUUCAUCAGCCUCACCAUCUCUUCCUUACAACUGUCAGACUCAGGGGUCUACUUCUGUGCUCUCUGGGCUCCCACAGUAAUAGAAAUGAUGGGGGAAGGUAAUCAAAAACCUUAGAGCUCCAUAAAGGCAGCCACCUGCUCAGAGGCUUGGGGAAAACCCAUGAACCACAGACAGGAAGAAGCCAGGCAUUGUGGAAGCACAGCUGAGACCUUCUAAUGUAAACUCUUUUUCUAUAAAAAAUGUUCCCAUAUUUGAGUUCCGUGUAUAAAACAGCCUUCUUCCCUGAGAUUCCCAGGUAUUAUGUUUGUAUCUUGGGUUAAAAUAAAUUACAAAGUGCUUUUCAACUUAUUCCUAAACAGCUAGAUUGAAUGAACCCAUUUAUUUCAGGAAAAUCAGGAGUAGUUUUCUAAUUAUCAUCCUGAAUGGUUGGAUCUUCAGAUCUGACAGAGUACUAAAAACCAUUCA
This is a non-coding RNA of Equus caballus (horse), 847 nucleotides long. The record is from the annotation of a RefSeq genome assembly. Lineage: Eukaryota; Metazoa; Chordata; Mammalia; Perissodactyla; Equidae.